UUUCUUCAGUAUUCAACAGUUUGGCUCUUCUGCUGUAUCAACUGAUCAACAUACCAGUUCAACUCUAGCAGAUUAUCGGUAGCAUACUAGCAGAUUAGUAAAUUUUUGUUUACCAGAGAUGCCAUUACUGCUAGAUGCAAGUUUCAAAUCAAUAAAUUUCAUGAACUUUUUCCUUGUUUUCUUGUAAUGUAGAUAAAAAGGAAGAGUGCUGCAUUUGCAUUGUUACCGCUAGAUGCAAAUUUAUUAUUGUAGUAUAGAUAAUUAUUAUAAAAUCAUGGUAUUAUCUCUCAUGCACAGUAGCACAUUUUUACAUUAUUAUUUCAAUCUUGCUACAAUUAACUAGAAGAAAAGCGGAAGAGAUUGCACGAGAAAACCUCUUAAGUGUACCCAUCUGCUCAUAUUCUUCCAUCAGUACCUCACUAGGGAGGUCAAAAUUAAUGGACAUCAUUACUUGCACCAUGAAGAUGAAGACCUGAUUAGUUUACUGGGAAAUUUAUAUAUCUGAUUUUAAUAUAUAACGUCAACGCUCUAUUUUUUUUCUUUUCUCAUCAUAAGUAACAAGAACAAGAUGUUAUAUCAAGACAUUUUGUAACUUUCGUCUUCACUGCCGGUUCAAGUUCGACGUAUUAGUCAGAACAUACUUACACAAAAUACCAAUUUUCAGGUUUGCAGUACAUGUGACCUGAAUUUUUUACGCAGAAUACAAUUAGAGGGAUUCAUACAUAGAUUUGCAGAUUAUUGCUUUGCCAUUGUGUUCCCUUGAUGUAUUUAUCACUGAUUUUUUUUUUAUUCUCCCUUGAUACACAGGUUACAAAGUUAUUUACAUGUGUUUUCUAGACAGCAUGUUCUGCAAUAGUACAUAUGUAUGGCAUCUUCUCUUGUGUUGGGAAAACAUUCAAGCAGAUUCUCACUCACUGGUUCAUGAAAGUAGAAACAGAAUGUAAACCGUAUCCACUUUUUCUUGGAUCAUUGGGGAUUGCUGAAUGGAAAACACAUUCAAGGCACAUAAUCUAUGAGAAUCACGACAAGUAAUCGUACCAAAAAGGAUUACUCGGCAAGUCUUAUCUGGUGAUCUCUAUUGAGUUGAUUUAAACUACAACUGAGAAAGAAGUUAUCUUUGAAAAAACAAAAUGGUUAUUUCUUGCUCAAGGUUACCUAAAUAGUUGACCAGAUAUGAGUUCAUUGCAGUAAAUUGUUUUAAAAACCUACCAUUGAUGAUGCAAGUUUAAACUGGACCAUAUCAUCUCAUUAUAGACAUGCUUGCACUUCGAAUGCAGGUUGGAACUAAUUAUUAUCUGAAGGACAACUGCAGUUACUCAAUGAAAUGCUGACUGGAAUCUCCAAGCAACAUAUUUCUUUUCAGUUGUUGUUCUCCUAGCUGGAAUCUCUAGAGAUUGUGACUGGAAUCUAAAAUUUCUGUCCUAUUUUGUAAAAGCCAGAUUGGACGGCCCAGUUUAUCCACACAAAUAAGUACUGGUGUCUCUGAAGUUCUUUCUGGUAGCAACGCUAUGACUGUAGGCUGAUCAGUCCUUCAUCUUUAUAGCUAGCUCUGAAAUGCAGAUAAGGGUCUAUCCUGUGCAGUCGGUAUCGGAUGAACCAGUUCAUCCUUACACUGUGCGUACCAGUAUCUUGUACUGAAGUUUUUUUUGUGAUAACAAGGCUAUGGCUAUAGCCGACCUGUCAUUCAUCUUGACGCCGCAUCUCCAAAGAGCCUUCCAGCUGCCGACUUGGUGGUCAGCUUGACGAGAAAACUGUCCAACCACUUCCUGAUAUUGAUUACUUCAGCAUUGAGGUGCUCAGGGCCAGUCGAGAUUUCUUCUGGAGCUUACUUCUUUGUUCUCCAGAGUAUGGGCGAAAUUAUCCAAGAUGCAUCAGAAAAAACUAUUUCUUUGUUCUUGGACAGUCAUGUAUAAAGGUUGCACCCAAUUUUGUUUCUCCAGAAAAUUUACAAGAAUGCAGGCUAACGGAAGAAUUUCUUCCCCUUCCAAAAUGUCAUCGGGUGAAUAAAAAUAAGCUAGAGCUUGGUGUCGGUCGUGAUGCUUCUGGUUUUGAAGUGUAGGUGCAACAAAGAUGAUCUUACCAUCUUUCAUAUCAGUAAUGGUUUUGUUGCUUUAGUAUCAUAUAUAGAACUGCAGUUGCUAAACUUUCACGUCGUUUUUUUUAUAAGAGCUACUAAACUUGCCUCUUAUUUUUUAUGAGGUGCUGAAUUCUUUCUUGGUUGGGAUUGACACCCAGCACUAGCCAGAAAGUUUCGGUGGGAUCAUAUUCUCAAUAAGGGCGGCUUCGGAUUAUCUGAACACGAAACGGCGUCGACAGAAGACUUACACUACCUUCCCGAUGCUGGAAAUGUAGCUUUGUUUCAAUUGCUUUGGGUAGAGCUUGCUACAGUUCUAGCCCUCCCUGUGCCAAGCAAAGAACUCAUCAUCAUCAUCAUUUCGUCUGCUGAUGAAUAUAAUAAUGCCAACCACUGACAGUUUGAAGACUGGGGAACACCGAGACCACCUGGCUUAGCAUGCUAAAAAUUUAUAUUCGUGCUAAUUACUUCAAGUAUAUAGUUCCGGUGGCACUGCUUAGGCAAGUCAAUCCUAUCAGGUAUGUAAUGAGAAAGAAUGUAUGUAUGAUAUAGUUCAGAUGGUUCUGUUUACUCAAGUCAAUCCUAUCACCCACCUAGGUUACGAGAAAGAAUGUAUGUAUGUUAGUGUCUCUAGCCUAUACUCCCUACGGUGGAUCUAUCUUGCCAACCAUGCACUCAACUAGGAAUAUAUAUUAGUAACACGUUUAGUAUAUCUGAGAUAAGGAUAUCACAUCGAUAAAGCUUCAUGUUACAGCAUAGGCGCGGCGUGAACAUUUGAAAAGUUGCUAUUUUCAGAUCUACAAUUCUGUUAAUUUUGCACAGUCCAGAAUAUAGAUUAUCUCACACUGAU
This is an RNA transcript of Lolium rigidum, 2924 nucleotides long. RefSeq lists it as uncharacterized. The transcript has 6 exons. NCBI's taxonomy places the organism in Eukaryota, Viridiplantae, Streptophyta, Magnoliopsida, Poales, Poaceae. The record is from RefSeq and is a predicted model, not a curated record.